Artibeus jamaicensis (Jamaican fruit-eating bat) is the source of this 736-nucleotide long non-coding RNA. RefSeq lists it as uncharacterized. Lineage: Eukaryota; Metazoa; Chordata; Mammalia; Chiroptera; Phyllostomidae. The transcript has 3 exons. The record is from RefSeq and is a predicted model, not a curated record.
ACCAACCCCGGCAGCUGCACGUGGGCUUCUAGAGGGUGCGCCCCCACUGCGUACGGUGCAGCUACAAUACCUGCGAGGUCUUCCUUGGAAGAGACGAGUCUUGGAGAGCUGCUUCCUGGCUCGAUUCUGAGCGACAGUCUGAAAACAAGGAUUUUCACAAGGCAUGGGUCUCUGGUCUAGUGGUGGAGACGGAAGACUCCUGAUGAAUGGGUUCAGACGCCAUGAUUCUGCCUGGCUCCGCCAGUGGCUGCUUGGAAAGCAGUGAAGAUGUGUGUGCAUCCAUUUCCCCAUCUGUCCUACCAGUGAAUGGAGAUAGUGCCAGUGACAGGCCAUGGUGGAGAUAACACAUCCACAGCCCGGCCACGCGCCCGGCACAGGGAGUCAUGCCCAUGUCAUUACCAUCAUGAUUACUGGAUGUGGGGUGAAAACAACCGCCGCGUCCCUGGCCAGGGAAGGUCCAAGCCUAGUGAGACAAUGUGUCUUUUUAAAAUCAAAUUUCCUGGGGCCAUAUUGAUGAAUAAAAUUAUAUCAGUUUCAAGUGUGUAGUUCUAUAAUACAUCAUGUGUAGAUUGCAUUGUGUUCACCCCCCAAAGUCAAGUCUCCUUCCAUCACCGUGUAUUUGACCCCUUUACCUUUUACUGACUGACUCCUCCUACCCCUUUCUCUCUGUAACCACAGUCCUGUUGUUUGUAUACGAGGGGUUUUUUUGUCUUGUUAGUUUAUUUGUUUCUUUCAG